AUUGAACGCUGGCGGCAGGCCUAACACAUGCAAGUCGAACGGUAACAGGGAUCAGCUUGCUGAUUCGCUGACGAGUGGCGGACGGGUGAGUAAUGUCUGGGAAACUGCCUGAAGGAGGGGGAUAACUACUGGAAACGGUAGCUAAUACCGCAUAACGUCGCAAGACCAAAGAGGGGGACCUUCGGGCCUCUUGCCAUCGGAUGUGCCCAGAUGGGAUUAGCUAGUAGGUGGGGUAACGGCUCACCUAGGCGACGAUCCCUAGCUGGUCUGAGAGGAUGACCAGCCACACUGGAACUGAGACACGGUCCAGACUCCUACGGGAGGCAGCAGUGGGGAAUAUUGCACAAUGGGCGCAAGCCUGAUGCAGCCAUGCCGCGUGUAUGAAGAAGGCCUUCGGGUUGUAAAGUACUUUCAGCGGGGAGGAAGGGAGUAAAGUUAAUACCUUUGCUCAUUGACGUUACCCGCAGAAGAAGCACCGGCUAACUCCGUG
This 490-nucleotide ribosomal RNA is filed under the name uncultured bacterium. RNAcentral describes it as "partial 16S ribosomal RNA". It matches the Rfam family "Bacterial small subunit ribosomal RNA", at positions 30 to 507 of the family's 1533-position model. The record is from RNAcentral.